AUCAACUCUUCUAUUUACUCACAAUACCUUCUCUCUCUCAUCUCUACGCAUGUAUAAAAUCAUUACCAUCUCUCGUUAACUCUCACAGCGGAACCAGGAAGAAGAAACCAAACAACCAACGAAUCACUGCUUCCAUAUCCGCCUCCAGAUUAUUCACUUCAAAAGGUCGGCAACGAGGUUUUGAUAGUAUCGAUUAAGGUUUGUUUAACAAUCAAACCACCUUGUUUGAUUUGUUCAUGUUUAUACUUCUUGGUUAGAUUGAGUACAUAUGAUACUUUUUUAAUCAAUGUAGCCGUUUCUCAUUGCUUAACAAUUGGUUGUUCUUUUGAUUGGUACCUCAUUAUUUCAAUUAGUAGAUUCCAAUUUUUUUGAGAAGCGGAGACAUGAGAAGGUGGGAAUUCACUGAUUUGAAACUUAAGCGAUUCAACACAUUAGAUAUGGGCUUUUUUUCGGUUAAUAGUUACUGUUGUGAUUGGUGGGAAUUUAAUGGUUUGAGUCGCCUUUCGAGAAUCCUGAAAUUGAGAGGUGCGGGUGUGUUUGACAUACAGAGAAUCCUGAAAUUGAGAGGUGCGGGUGUGUUUGAAAUACAGAGAAUCCUGAAAUUGAAAGGGGUUAUUUAAGGACUGGUUUUCAUUUUUUCAGAUUCAGCAACUGCGGGACAAGCUUGCUGUAGCUGAGAGAACUUAGAAAUCUGAAGCCCACUUAAAAGUAAAUCAGUGAAUUAAGUGUACCUACCUGAUUGGGAUUUUUAACUUAUUUCCGUUUUAUUGUAUCAAUUAAGCUUUCACGUUCUCCUCUAGGAGACGUAUCAGUUGCUAUGAAAAAUUCUUGAAGAGAUUUUGAGAUCACCGAAUACGGCUAGUCACAGCAUUCCAGAUGUAAGAAGUACUAAGGCUUAGUGAGUUAAAAAAACAACUAUGACAGAUUGGGAACUUCCUUUGGUAAUUAUGUGCUGCCAUCAGUUGCAUCAUAUAAUGCCAAGCCUCCGAAUCCGAUAAACCAUAGGGAACAACUGGAAUGUUGGAAUAAGGUUUGAGUGAAUGAAGAUGUAGUUAUUUUUUUGCUCUCUUUUCCUUGUUGCUAUCUCUCCUUUUUUCAAUUCUUUAACACCUUCCAUGAAUAGACUUCGUAUCCGUCUUUUUUAAUUGUGAUAGUUUGUGUGAACCUUGAAGAAAAUGGAAGUAUGAAAAAGAAGUUAGCAUUACUCUUGCCGGAAUCAAGAAGAAAUAUAUAUUUUGGACACGUAAAAUUGUUCUAAAGCUGUUUGAAGUUGGUGGAUGCUAGUUGGCUAUAAAUCAGUUUCGAAGACUGAAAUUUCUAUUGCUUGAAAUGACCAAACUAAGAUUGUGCUGCAUCAACUUGUAAAUUAGUACAACGAAACAAACAUAUCUUCUUUAAUUUUGUAGAGUUAAGCACAAUGAUCGUGUUCGUGUUCCAUAUUAAUAGUGGAAAAUCGGGUGAGUUUUUGAGAGAAUGAGCUUAUAUUCCAUGAUAAUUGUAACUCUACUAUCCAUAGAUUAUGUGGAAAUUGAAUUUUUUCUUUUUUUCGUCACUUAAUUUUCCCUUUCUCUGGUAUCAGUCAGACCUUGCACAGUCCACUUAUUCUUAACAAUGUUAUAAAUUCUGAUGUGAUACAAAAUUUUGAUAUAAACCUCUUCAAGAAGAAUGUUCUUCCUUGUAGAUAAAAAUUAAACAAUAAUUUUGCAUGCAGCAGUGGUCUCUACGAGCUUUUCUUCAUCUGCUGAAUAUCCUUGUUCUGUUAGCUUCCUUCCUCUUCCGGUUGCUACUUUGUCAUAUGCCCAAUGAUCUCAAAGUAGCCCUGUUCCUGCUCAUUUGCCAAUUAAAACUGAGAACUCUAAAUUGCUGAGGAAACUUCUUCCUUUUCGGAAAACUUCUAUGGAUCCAACUGCAAAUUCUCGAAUAAUAAUAAAUUUGACUGGCCUAUAAAGAUGGCAGAAAUUUCGAUCUCUAAGGAAAAAAAGCUCAACAAUAGGAAUCUUGAACACUUUAAAAAGAACCUCAAUGAAUUAUUGUAAAUUGGGCAAAUAUACUUACCUUUGUCCAUUAGAAUUAUUUUUGCUCGAAUUUAUUUAUUUAUUAUUUUUUUUUUUGGGGGAAAUUAUGUUUAUCAGAACUUUAUAAUGCAAAGAGUUUUCUUCUCCUUCUAUAUAUAUAUAUAUAUAUAUAUAUAUAUAUAUAUUUUUUUUUUUUUUUAAAUGGAGGUUCUAUGAAGAAUUUAUCCUUUCAUGCUUGAACUGAACUUCUUCACUUUUGACUAUUUUUUUUUAAAUUUUUUUUGAACAAUCAUUAUGUAAUUUAGAUGGUUCGUAGCUCAGAGUAUAAGGAAAGGAAAGAUAAUUUUUUUUAUGUUCUACAUGUUAUUGUGUAUGUGAACUUUAAUUUUCUAUAUAAUCAAAUUUCUCUGGUCGUUUUUCUUUUACCUUUUGCAUUAACUCCUUGAAACGAUUUCUGAAGUCGGUUUUAUUCAAAAGAUCUUUUCUUGAUGUUUGAUUCGUAAGUUAAACCUUCCUACAGAUUAUAAAGAUGUCGUUGACAAGGAAAACUAUCCGUCGAAGAACUCAAAAGUACACACCAUCGUGAGUUAUUUUUCUCUUCCCUUUACUGGCUCUUCCUUUUAGCCUAUUUUAUUCUGAUAUAAGUUCACUAUGCCAGACAUUUGAGAAGAAAAUUUGGGCUUCUU
Molecule: long non-coding RNA, 2701 nt
Filed under: Olea europaea subsp. europaea
Lineage: Eukaryota; Viridiplantae; Streptophyta; Magnoliopsida; Lamiales; Oleaceae
Source: RNAcentral